UAAAUAAAUGCGUGGUCUUGCUGGGCAGGCUAUGCUCUUCGGAUGUCAUCUUGAGACUGGCCUGAGAAAUUUCCCAUCACUUGCUAUUGGRGCUACCAGGAACAUUUUCAAGAGAAGUUUGGCCUCUGACCAGAGACUGAGACACUUAAGACUUCUGCAGGCUGGGACUGAAACCUGCAAAUGAAGAAAUGUGACUGGAAAGAGCAAUCUGUGCUCUUCGAAAAUAAAAUGCUGAAUAUCUCCUCCAACAUGGAUGAAGCAAUGUAGAGAAGAGACUUCCUGUGACAGAAGGUUUAACUUAGCUGCUGUUUGGCACUAUUAAGAAUUACUUCAAGCUUGUGAAUGCUAGUUCCUAAGAGGUUGCAUGACUUCUUACCUUCUCAGCAAAUGUGUAUCUUUCAUCAGAAAAAAGCCUUGAUUUCCUCAUUUUAAAUGUUAACAWCUUGAAGAGGAUUUUGAAAAGGAAUGUGCAUUCUUGAAUUAUAGCAGCUGUCUCCAAAUGAACUGUGAUGGUUGAACCUAGUUUUUCUCAUGAGGCAAGUCGCUUCUGGCUCCCCAUCUGGAUUACCCCUCAAUGAAAACUACAAUUUAUCAGUUGGUAAAAGUGCAUGAUUGUUCUAUUAAAUGGGUAAAUUAUUUGCUGAAACGUGGUUAUUCAUAUUUACAGAUGAAUUACUAGUGUAAAAAUGACCAAAGAUUUCUUUGAUUUGACAAUGUUUUCUGCUGAUAAACUGUUAAACUCGCUUUGAAAAUUCACUUUGAAAAGAAUUGUGCACAGUGUAGAUUUAUUACUCAACAGAUGCUCAUCACAUUGCUUAAUGCUUUAUUUCAUGGUCUAUAUUCUCCAUCCAUUCUGAUUCUUAAAUCUACACCCAAUUCUUUUUAAACAUCUGGUGCUUUUUCUCUUCCAUGUUUUWAAAAUAAUAAUUUGUUUGGACAGCGUGUUUCUUCUUAUACUGCUCUUAAUCCUCAUGGGUGUUUGGAAUAUAGGCAGGAGAACAGAACUUCUAUGAUUAAAUGUAAAGAUGUUUGCAAGAUUGUUUUAUUCUAAGAUAAAUUUGAGUUUAUUUUUCCUGUAAUGACAUCAUCUGCUGGCAGCCUUUGACAUAAAUCUGCUGUUGCUGGGAGCUUGGGCUGCAUGUCCUUGCAAAAGGAGAUUGUUCUGUGAACAAUAGAUCUGUGUACAGACUUCAAGGUAAAUUAAAACUAAACAGACUUAGAUUUCUUUUUYGAAGCAGACAUUAA
Molecule: long non-coding RNA, 1245 nt
Organism: Nothoprocta perdicaria
Lineage: Eukaryota; Metazoa; Chordata; Aves; Tinamiformes; Tinamidae
Exons: 5
Source: RefSeq, a predicted model, not a curated record